AGCGUACACGGUGGAUGCCCUGGCAGUCAGAGGCGAUGAAGGGCGUGCUAAUCUGCGAUAAGCGCCGGUAAGGUGAUAUGAACCGUUAUAACCGGCGAUACCCGAAUGGGGAAACCCAGUGUGACUCGUCACACUAUCAUUAACUGAAUCCAUAGGUUAAUGAGGCGAACCGGGGGAACUGAAACAUCUAAGUACCCCGAGGAAAAGAAAUCAACCGAGAUUCCCCCAGUAGCGGCGAGCGAACGGGGAGGAGCCCAGAGCCUGAAUCAGCAUGUGUGUUAGUGGAAGCGUCUGGAAAGGCGCGCGAUACAGGGUGACAGCCCCGUACACAAAAGCGCAUGUGCUGUGAGCUCGAUGAGUAGGGCGGGACACGUGGUAUCCUGUCUGAAUAUGGGGGGACCAUCCUCCAAGGCUAAAUACUCCUGACUGACCGAUAGUGAACCAGUACCGUGAGGGAAAGGCGAAAAGAACCCCGGCGAGGGGAGUGAAACAGAACCUGAAACCGUGUACGUACAAGCAGUGGGAGCACAGGUUUACCUGUGUGACUGCGUACCUUUUGUAUAAUGGGUCAGCGACUUAUAUUCUGUAGCAAGGUUAACCGAAUAGGGGAGCCGGAGGGAAACCGAGUCUUAAUUGGGCGUUAAGUUGCAGGGUAUAGACCCGAAACCCGGUGAUCUAGCCAUGGGCAGGUUGAAGGUUGGGUAACACUAACUGGAGGACCGAACCGACUAAUGUUGAAAAAUUAGCGGAUGACCUGUGGCUGGGGGUGAAAGGCCAAUCAAACCGGGAGAUAGCUGGUUCUCCCCGAAAGCUAUUUAGGUAGCGCCUCGUGAAUUCAUCUCCGGGGGUAGAGCACUGUUUCGGCUAGGGGGCCAUCCCGGCUUACCAACCCGAUGCAAACUGCGAAUACCGGAGAAUGUUAUCACGGGAGACACACGGCGGGUGCUAACGUCCGUCGUGAAGAGGGAAACAACCCAGACCGCCAGCUAAGGUCCCAAAGUCAUGGUUAAGUGGGAAACGAUGUGGGAAGGCCCAGACAGCCAGGAUGUUGGCUUAGAAGCAGCCAUCAUUUAAAGAAAGCGUAAUAGCUCACUGGUCGAGUCGGCCUGCGCGGAAGAUGUAACGGGGCUAAACCAUGCACCGAAGCUGCGGCAGCGACGCUUAUGCGUUGUUGGGUAGGGGAGCGUUCUGUAAGCCUGCGAAGGUGGCCUGUGAGGGUUGCUGGAGGUAUCAGAAGUGCGAAUGCUGACAUAAGUAACGAUAAAGCGGGUGAAAAGCCCGCUCGCCGGAAGACCAAGGGUUCCUGUCCAACGUUAAUCGGGGCAGGGUGAGUCGACCCCUAAGGCGAGGCCGAAAGGCGUAGUCGAUGGGAAACGGGUUAAUAUUCCCGUACUUGGUGUUACUGCGAAGGGGGGACGGAGAAGGCUAUGUUGGCCGGGCGACGGUUGUCCCGGUUUAAGCGUGUAGGUGUGUGUUCCAGGUAAAUCCGGUUCACUUUAACACUGAGGCGUGAUGACGAGGCACUACGGUGCUGAAGCAACAAAUGCCCUGCUUCCAGGAAAAGCCUCUAAGCAUCAGGUAACAUCAAAUCGUACCCCAAACCGACACAGGUGGUCAGGUAGAGAAUACCAAGGCGCUUGAGAGAACUCGGGUGAAGGAACUAGGCAAAAUGGUGCCGUAACUUCGGGAGAAGGCACGCUGACACGUAGGUGAAGUGAUUUACUCAUGGAGCUGAAGUCAGUCGAAGAUACCAGCUGGCUGCAACUGUUUAUUAAAAACACAGCACUGUGCAAACACGAAAGUGGACGUAUACGGUGUGACGCCUGCCCGGUGCCGGAAGGUUAAUUGAUGGGGUCAGCGCAAGCGAAGCUCCUGAUCGAAGCCCCGGUAAACGGCGGCCGUAACUAUAACGGUCCUAAGGUAGCGAAAUUCCUUGUCGGGUAAGUUCCGACCUGCACGAAUGGCGUAAUGAUGGCCAGGCUGUCUCCACCCGAGACUCAGUGAAAUUGAACUCGCUGUGAAGAUGCAGUGUACCCGCGGCAAGACGGAAAGACCCCGUGAACCUUUACUAUAGCUUGACACUGAACAUUGAGCCUUGAUGUGUAGGAUAGGUGGGAGGCUUUGAAGCGUGGACGCCAGUCUGCGUGGAGCCGACCUUGAAAUACCACCCUUUAAUGUUUGAUGUUCUAACGUGGACCCGUAAUCCGGGUUGCGGACAGUGUCUGGUGGGUAGUUUGACUGGGGCGGUCUCCUCCUAAAGAGUAACGGAGGAGCACGAAGGUUGGCUAAUCCUGGUCGGACAUCAGGAGGUUAGUGCAAUGGCAUAAGCCAGCUUGACUGCGAGCGUGACGGCGCGAGCAGGUGCGAAAGCAGGUCAUAGUGAUCCGGUGGUUCUGAAUGGAAGGGCCAUCGCUCAACGGAUAAAAGGUACUCCGGGGAUAACAGGCUGAUACCGCCCAAGAGUUCAUAUCGACGGCGGUGUUUGGCACCUCGAUGUCGGCUCAUCACAUCCUGGGGCUGAAGUAGGUCCCAAGGGUAUGGCUGUUCGCCAUUUAAAGUGGUACGCGAGCUGGGUUUAGAACGUCGUGAGACAGUUCGGUCCCUAUCUGCCGUGGGCGCUGGAGAACUGAGGGGGGCUGCUCCUAGUACGAGAGGACCGGAGUGGACGCAUCACUGGUGUUCGGGUUGUCAUGCCAAUGGCACUGCCCGGUAGCUAAAUGCGGAAGAGAUAAGUGCUGAAAGCAUCUAAGCACGAAACUUGCCCCGAGAUGAGUUCU
This 2777-nucleotide ribosomal RNA is filed under the name Salmonella enterica subsp. enterica serovar Paratyphi B var. L(+) tartrate +. Its description in RNAcentral is "bacterial LSU rRNA". It matches the Rfam family "Bacterial large subunit ribosomal RNA". Lineage: Bacteria; Pseudomonadati; Pseudomonadota; Gammaproteobacteria; Enterobacterales; Enterobacteriaceae. The record is from RNAcentral.